GGUUAAGCGACUAAGCAUUACACGGUGGAUGCCACGGCAGUCAGAAGACGACGAGGGCGUGCUUGUCUGCGACCAAAGCGCGCCAGGCACAGGUGAUAUGAACCGUUAUAGCCGGCGAUACCGAAUAGAGGAAACCUUAGUGUGAUUCGUCACACUAUCAUUAACUAGUCCAUAGGUUGUAAGGGCGAACCGGGGGAACUGAAACAUCUAUAAGUACCCCGAGGAAGAAAUCAGCAGAAUUCCCACUAAGGCCAGCGGCGGCGAACGAGGGGGAGGGCAGAGCCUGAAUCAGCAUAUUGUGUUAGUGGAAGCGUCUGGAAAGGCGCGCGAUACAGAGUGACGCCCCACGUACACACAAAAAGCAUGUGCUGUGAGCUCGAUAGUAGGGCGGGAGCACGUGGUAUCUAUGCAAGACCAUGGGGACAACAUCCUCCAAGGCUAUUGACUGACCGAUAGUGAACCAGUACCGUGUGAGGAAAGGCGAAAGAACCCAGCGAGGGUGAAAAAGAACCUGAAACCGUGUACUGUGCAAACGGUAGAGCCCCACCACUAAGCGGUGGUGAACUCCACAUACGCAUCGCUGAGGAUACGGUUAGCAGGCGCAACGACGUUCAGCCUCAAAAGCAGGGGCUUGAGUGGGUGAGGGGUGACUGCGUACCUUUGUAUAAUGGGUCAGCGACUUAUAUUCUGCUUAGCAAGGUUAACGAUAAGAGCCGAGGGAGGGAAACCAGAAGUCACUUAACCGGGCGUUAAGUUGCAGGGAGUAUAGGCGAAACACCCGGUGAUCACCAUGGGCGUUGAGAUUUGGGUAACACUAACUGGAGGACGAACCGACUAAUGUUGAAAAAUUAGCGGAUGACCUGUGGCUGGGGUGAAAAGGCCAAUCAAACCGGGAGAUAGCUGGUUCUCCCCGAAAGCUAUUUGGUAGCGCCUCGUAAUUCAUCUCCGGGGUAGAGCACUGUUUCGGCUAGGGGCCAUCCCGGCUUACCAACCCGAUGCAAACUGCGAAUACCGGGAGAGGAAUGUUAUCACAGAGGCACGGCGAGGUGCUAACGUCCCGUCGUGAAGAGAAGCACAACGAACCGCCAGCUAAGGUCCCAAAGUCAUAGUUGAGAGUAGGGAAAAACGAUGUGGGAAGGCGGAGCAGCGAGGAUGUUGGCAAGCAGCCAUCAUUUAAAAGGCGUAAUAACUCACUGGUGCAGUCGGCCUGCGCGGAAGAUGUAACGGGGCUAACCAUGCACCAGCUGCGGCAGCGAACGUAUCGCAAAAGCGAUUCAGCGGGUACGAUUGACGGAGCGAAGCGACGUCCAUGCCUCAAGAAUGGGAGGCCGGUUUAGGGCCGUUAGGUGAGCGAGGAAGCGUUCUGUAAGCCUGUGAAGGUGGCGCAAUGAGGGUUGCUGGAGACGUAAGGGUGCGAAUAACGGCGCUAACGAUAAAGCGGGUGAAAAGCCCGCUCGCCGAAGGUACCGGGACCUGUCCAGCGUUAAUCGGGGCAGUGAGUCAUUAGGCGAGGCCGAAGCGUAGUCGAUAAGGAAGCGGGUUAAUAUUCCCGUACUUGGUAUUGUUACUGCGAAGAGGGGACGAGAAGGCGCUAUGUUGGCCGGGCGACGGUUGUCAGUUUUAAGCGUGUAGGUGUGUUCGAAUCCGGUUUACUUUUAACACUGAAGGCGUGACGACGAGCACUACGGUGCUGAAGCAGCAAAUGCCCUGCUUCGAGGAAAAGCCUCUAGCAUCAGGUAACAUCAUCGUACCCCAAACCGACACAGGUGGUCAGGUAGAGAAUACCAGAGCGCUUGAAGAGAGAACUUUCGGGUGAAGGAACUAUAGGCAAAAUGGUGCCGCUUCGGGAGAAGGCACGCACGCUGACACGUAGGUGAGGUGAUUUACUCACGGAGCUGAAGUCAGUCGAAGAUACCAGCUGGCUGCAACUUGUUUAUUAAAAAACACAGCACUGUGCAAACACGAAAGUGGACGUAUACGGUGUGACGCCUGCCCGGUGCCGGAAGGUUAGUGUGGGGUCGAAGCGCAAGCGAAAGCCUGAUCGAAGCGGUAAACGGCGGCCGUAACUAUAACGGUCUAAGGUAGCAGAAAUUCCUUGUCGGGUAAGUUCGACCUGCACGAAUGGCGUAAUGGCGAGGCUGUCUCCACCCGAAGACUUUCAGUGAAAUUGAGCUUUCGCUGUGAAGAUGCAGUGUACCCGCGGCAAGACGGAAGGGCCGUGAACCUUUACUAUAACGACACUGAACAUUGAGCACUUGAUAUUGUGGCCAGGAUAGGUGGGAGAGCUUUGAAGUGUGGACGCCGGUCUUACGUAGACCGGCAGCGAAAUACACACCACUGCUUUGUGUUUGAUGUUGUCUAAAGUAACGGGUGAAGGUUGGCUGUCACGGUCGGACAUCAGGAGGUUAGUGCAAUGGCAUAAGCCAGCUUGACGCUGCGAGCGUGACGGCGCGGCGGAAGGUGCUGGAGUCGCCAAUGAUCCGGUGGUUCACACGAAUGGAAGGGCCAUCGCUCAACGGAUAAGGUACUCCUGAUCCGGUGGUUCUGAAUGGAAGGGCCAUCGCUCAACGGAUAAAGGUACUCCGGGGAUACAGGCUGAUACCGCCGAGAGUUCAUAUCGACGGCGGUGUUUGGCACCUGAUGUCGGCUCAUCACAUCACAGGGCUGAAGUAGGUCCCAAGGGUAUGGCUGUUCAUAUACAUUUGCAAAAGUGGUACGCGAGCUGGGUUUUAGAACGUCGUGAGACAGUUCGGUCCCCUAUCUGCCGUGGGCUGGAGACGAGGGGGCUGCUCUGGUACGAAGAGGACCGGGUGGACGCAUCACUGGUGUUCGGGUUGUCGUAGCAAUGGCACUGCCCGGUAGCUAAAUGCGGAAGAGAUGAAGUGCUGAAAGCAUCUAAGCACGAAACUUUACCCCGAGAUGAGUUCUCCGCAAAGGACUUUAGGUCUCCCUGAAGGAACGUUGAAGACGACGACGUUGAUAGGCCGGUGUGUAAGCGCAGCGAUGCGUUGGAAGCUAACCGGUACUAAUGAACCACGUGAGGCUUAACCUU
RNAcentral lists this ribosomal RNA (3052 nucleotides) under Salmonella enterica subsp. enterica. Its description in RNAcentral is "23S ribosomal RNA". It matches the Rfam family "Bacterial large subunit ribosomal RNA". The record is from RNAcentral. Lineage: Bacteria; Pseudomonadati; Pseudomonadota; Gammaproteobacteria; Enterobacterales; Enterobacteriaceae.